Molecule: ribosomal RNA, 468 nt
Filed under: uncultured bacterium
Lineage: Bacteria
Description: bacterial SSU rRNA
Rfam family: Bacterial small subunit ribosomal RNA
Source: RNAcentral
UCCAGACUCCUACGGGAGGCAGCAGUGAGGAAUAUUGGUCAAUGGCCGAGAGGCUGAACCAGCCAAGUCGCGUGAGGGAUGACGGUCCUAUGGAUUGUAAACCUCUUUUGUCGGGGAGCAAGGCCCGCCACGUGUGGCGGGAAGGAGAGUACCCGAAGAAAAAGCAUCGGCUAACUCCGUGCCAGCAGCCGCGGUAAUACGGAGGAUGCGAGCGUUAUCCGGAUUUAUUGGGUUUAAAGGGUGCGUAGGCGGAACAUUAAGUCAGCGGUAAAAUCGAGGGGCUCAACCCCUUUAAGCCGUUGAAACUGGUGAUCUUGAGUGGGCGAGAAGUAUGCGGAAUGCGUGGUGUAGCGGUGAAAUGCAUAGAUAUCACGCAGAACUCCGAUUGCGAAGGCAGCAUACCGGCGCCCGACUGACGCUGAGGCACGAAAGCGUGGGGAUCGAACAGGAUUAGAUACCCCCGUACUU